UGGGGAAUAUUGGACAAUGGGCGCAAGCCUGAUCCAGCCAUGCCGCGUGAGUGACGAAGGUCUUCGGAUUGUAAAGCUCUUUUUGGCGGGGACGAUAAUGACGGUACCCGCAGAAUAAGCCCCGGCUAACUUCGUGCCAGCAGCCGCGGUAAUACGAAGGGGGCUAGCGUUGUUCGGAAUUACUGGGCGUAAAGCGCACGUAGGCGGAUCUAUAAGUCAGGGGUGAAAUCCCGGGGCUCGACCUCGGAACUGCCUUUGAUACUGUAGAUCUCGAGUCCGGAAGAGGUGAGUGGAAUUCCUAGUGUAGAGGUGAAAUUCGUAGAUAUUAGGAAGAACACCAGUGGCGAAGGCGGCCAACUGGCUCGAUACUGACGCUGAGGUGCGAAAGCGUGGGGAGCAAACAGGAUUAGAUACCCCAGUAGUCCCUGAGCGGGCUGGCAAGGCGCAU
RNAcentral lists this ribosomal RNA (448 nucleotides) under uncultured bacterium. RNAcentral describes it as "bacterial SSU rRNA". It matches the Rfam family "Bacterial small subunit ribosomal RNA", at positions 355 to 825 of the family's 1533-position model. The record is from RNAcentral.